RNAcentral lists this ribosomal RNA (497 nucleotides) under uncultured bacterium. RNAcentral describes it as "partial 16S ribosomal RNA". It matches the Rfam family "Bacterial small subunit ribosomal RNA", at positions 28 to 507 of the family's 1533-position model. The record is from RNAcentral.
GAUGAACGCUGGCGGCGUGCCUAAUACAUGCAAGUCGAGCGAACAGACGAGGAGCUUGCUCCUCUGACGUUAGCGGCGGACGGGUGAGUAACACGUGGAUAACCUACCUAUAAGACUGGGAUAACUUCGGGAAACCGGAGCUAAUACCGGAUAAUAUAUUGAACCGCAUGGUUCAAUAGUGAAAGACGGUUUUGCUGUCACUUAUAGAUGGAUCCGCGCCGCAUUAGCUAGUUGGUAAGGUAACGGCUUACCAAGGCGACGAUGCGUAGGCGACCUGAGAGGGUGAUCGGCCACACUGGAACUGAAACACGGUCCAGACUCCUACGGGAGGCAGCAGUAGGGAAUCUUCCGCAAUGGGCGAAAGCCUGACGGAGCAACGCCGCGUGAGUGAUGAAGGUCUUCGGAUCGUAAAACUCUGUUAUUAGGGAAGAACAAAUGUGUAAGUAACUAUGCACGUCUUGACGGUACCUAAUCAGAAAGCCACGGCUAACUACGUG